CCUACGGGAGGCUGCAGUCGAGAAUCAUUCACAAUGGGGGAAACCCUGAUGGUGCGACGCCGCGUGGGGGAAUGAAGGUCUUCGGAUUGUACACCCCUGUCAUGUGGGAGCAAAUUAAAAAGAUAGUACCACAAGAGGAAGAGACGGCUAACUCUGUGCCAGCAGCCGCGGUAAUACAGAGGUCUCAAGCGUUGUUCGGAAUCACUGGGCGUAAAGCGUGCGUAGGCUGUUUCGUAAGUCGUGUGUGAAUGGCGCGGGCUCAACCCGCGGACGGCACAUGAUACUGCGAGACUAGAGUAAUGGAGGGGGAACGGGAAUUCUCGGUGUAGCAGUGAAAUGCGUAGAUAUCGAGAGGAACACUCGUGGCGAAGGCGGGUUCCUGGACAUUAACUGACGCUGAGGCACGAAGGCCAGGGGAGCGAAAGGGAUUAGAUACCCCGGUAGUC
This 446-nucleotide ribosomal RNA is filed under the name uncultured bacterium. RNAcentral's name for it is "partial 16S ribosomal RNA". It matches the Rfam family "Bacterial small subunit ribosomal RNA", at positions 338 to 795 of the family's 1533-position model. The record is from RNAcentral.